UACGGAGGGUGCGAGCGUUGUCCGGAAUCACUGGGCGUAAAGGGCGCGUAGGCGGCCUGAUAAGUAGGGGGUGAAAUCCUGCGGCUUAACCGCAGGGCUGCCUUCUAGACUGUCAGGCUAGAGCACAGUAGAGGCAGGUGGAAUUCCCGGUGUAGCGGUGGAAUGCGUAGAGAUCGGGAAGAACAUCAGUGGCGAAGGCGGCCUGCUGGGCUGUUGCUGACGCUGAGGCGCGACAGCGUGGGGAGCAAACGGG
Molecule: ribosomal RNA, 253 nt
Filed under: uncultured bacterium
Lineage: Bacteria
Description: partial 16S ribosomal RNA
Rfam family: Bacterial small subunit ribosomal RNA
Source: RNAcentral